GACGAACGCUGGCGGCGUGCUUAACACAUGCAAGUCGACCGGAAAGGCCCUGCUUGCCGGGUACUCGAGUGGCGAACGGGUGAGUAACACGUGGGUGAUCUGCCCUGCACUUCGGGAUACGCCUGGGCAACUGGGUCUAAUACCGGAUAGGAGCCAUUUUUAGUGUGAUGGUUGGAAAGUUUUUUCGGUGUAGGAUGAGCUCGCGGCCUAUCAGCUUGUUGGUGGGGUAAUGGCCUACCAAGGCGGCGGCGGGUAGCCGGCCUGGGAGGGUGGACGGCCACAUUGGGACUGAGGUACGGCCCAGACUCCGACGGGAGGCAGCAGGGGGGAAUAGUGCACAAUGGGCGCAAGCCUGAUGCAGCGACGCCGCGGGGGGGAUGACGGCCUUCGGGUUGGAAACGCCUUUCGCUAGGGACGAAGCUUUUUGUGACGGUACCUAGAUAAGAAGCACCGGCUAACUACGUG
Molecule: ribosomal RNA, 465 nt
Filed under: uncultured bacterium
Lineage: Bacteria
Description: partial 16S ribosomal RNA
Rfam family: Bacterial small subunit ribosomal RNA
Source: RNAcentral